Molecule: ribosomal RNA, 164 nt
Filed under: Brickelliastrum nesomii
Lineage: Eukaryota; Viridiplantae; Streptophyta; Magnoliopsida; Asterales; Asteraceae
Description: 5.8S ribosomal RNA
Rfam family: 5.8S ribosomal RNA
About the family: 5.8S ribosomal RNA (5.8S rRNA) is a component of the large subunit of the eukaryotic ribosome. It is transcribed by RNA polymerase I as part of the 45S precursor that also contains 18S and 28S rRNA.
Source: RNAcentral
UAAAUGACUCUCGGCAACGGAUAUCUCGGCUCACGCAUCGAUGAAGAACGUAGCAAAAUGCGAUACUUGGUGUGAAUUGCAGAAUCCCGUGAACCAUCGAGUUUUUGAACGCAAGUUGCGCCCGAAGCCAUUUGGUUGAGGGCACGUCUGCCUGGGCGUCACGC